RNAcentral lists this ribosomal RNA (251 nucleotides) under uncultured bacterium. RNAcentral describes it as "partial 16S ribosomal RNA". It matches the Rfam family "Bacterial small subunit ribosomal RNA", at positions 524 to 772 of the family's 1533-position model. The record is from RNAcentral.
UACGUAGGGGGCUAGCGUUGUCCGGAAUCAUUGGGCGUAAAGCGCGUGUAGGCGGUCCGGUAAGUCCGCUGUGAAAGUCGGGGGGCUCAACCCUCGGAUGCCGGUGGAUACUGUCGGGCUUGAGUACGGAAGAGGCGAGUGGAAUUCCUGGUGUAGCGGUGAAAUGCGCAGAUAUCAGGAGGAACACCAAUAGCGAAGGCAGCUCGCUGGGACGGUAACUGACGCUGGAGGCGCGAAAGCGUGGGAGCGAA